This 492-nucleotide ribosomal RNA is filed under the name uncultured bacterium. RNAcentral describes it as "partial 16S ribosomal RNA". It matches the Rfam family "Bacterial small subunit ribosomal RNA", at positions 29 to 507 of the family's 1533-position model. The record is from RNAcentral.
AGUGAACGCUGGCGGUAGGCCUAACACAUGCAAGUCGAACGGCAGCACAGUAAGAGCCUGCUCUUACGGGUGGCGAGUGGCGGACGGGUGAGGAAUACAUCGGAAUCUACUUUUUCGUGGGGGAUAACGUAGGGAAACUUACGCUAAUACCGCAUACGACCUACGGGUGAAAGCAGGGGAUCUUCGGACCUUUCGCGAUUGAAUGAGCCGAUGUCGGAUUAUCUAGUUGGGGGGGUAAAGGCCCACCAAGGCGACGGUCCGUAGCUGGUCUGAGAGGAUGAUCAGCCACAAUGGAACUGAGACACGGUCCAGACUCCUACGGGAGGCAGCAGUGGGGAAUAUUGGACAAUGGGCGCAAGCCUGAUCCAGCCAUACCGCGUGGGUGAAGAAGGCCUUCGGGUUGUAAAGCCCUUUUGUUGGGAAAGAAAAGCAGCAGGUUAAUACCCCGCUGUUCUGACGGUACCCAAAGAAUAAGCACCGGCUAACUUCGUG